ACGAACGCUGGCGGCGUGCUUAACACAUGCAAGUCGAACGGAAAGGCCCUGCUUUUGUGGGGUGCUCGAGUGGCGAACGGGUGAGUAACACGUGAGUAACCUGCCCUUGACUUUGGGAUAACUUCAGGAAACUGGGGCUAAUACCGGAUAGGAGCUCCUGCUGCCUGGUGGGGGUUGGAAAGUUUCGGCGGUUGGGGAUGGACUCGCGGCUUAUCAGCUUGUUGGUGGGGUAGUGGCUUACCAAGGCUUUGACGGGUAGCCGGCCUGAGAGGGUGACCGGCCACAAUGGGACUGAGAGACGGCGCAGACGCGUACGGGAGGCAGCAGUGGGGAAUAUUGCACAAUGGGCGGAAGCCUGAUGCAGCAACGCCGCGUGCGGGAUGACGGCCUUCGGGUUGUAAACCGCUUUCGCCUGUGACGAAGCGUGAGUGACGGUAAUGGGUAAAGAAGCACCGGCUAACUACGUG
RNAcentral lists this ribosomal RNA (467 nucleotides) under uncultured bacterium. Its description in RNAcentral is "partial 16S ribosomal RNA". It matches the Rfam family "Bacterial small subunit ribosomal RNA", at positions 29 to 507 of the family's 1533-position model. The record is from RNAcentral.